UACGUAGGAUGCAAGCGUUAUCCGGAUUCACUGGGUUUAAAGGGUGUGCAGGUGGGGUAAUAAGUCAGUGGUGAAAGCCCCCGACUCAAUCGGGGAACUGCCAUAGAUACUGUUAUUCUUGAGUGUGGUUGAGGCGGAUGGAAUAUGACAUGUAGCGGUGAAAUGCUUAGAUAUGUCAUAGAACACCGAUCGCGAAGGCAGUCCGCCAAACCAUUACUGACACUGAAACACGAAAGUGCGGGGAUCAAACAGG
This 253-nucleotide ribosomal RNA is filed under the name uncultured bacterium. Its description in RNAcentral is "partial 16S ribosomal RNA". It matches the Rfam family "Bacterial small subunit ribosomal RNA", at positions 524 to 776 of the family's 1533-position model. The record is from RNAcentral.